UUUAGAGUUUGAUCCAUGGCUCAGAGCGAACGCUAGCGGCGCGCCUAACACAUGCAAGUCGUGCGAGAAAGCGGGGGCAACUCCGCAAGUAGAGCGGCGCACGGGUGAGUAACACGUGGGUAAUCUACCCUCAAGCUCGGAAUAACCAGCCGAAAGGUUGGCUAAUACCGGAUAAGACCACGGGACGCAUGUCCUGCGGUCAAAGGCGGGUCGCAAGAUCUGUCACUUGGGGAUGAGCCCGCAUCCCAUCAGCUAGUUGGUGAGGUAACGGCUCACCAAGGCUAAGACGGGUAGCUGGUCUGAGAGGACGGUGGGCCACACUGGCACUGAAACACGGGCCAGACUCCUACGGGAGGCAGCAGUGGGGAAUUUUGCGCAAUGGGCGGAAGCCUGACGCAGCGACGCCGCGUGAGGGAAGAAGGCCUUCGGGUCGUAAACCUCUGUCGGGGGGGAAGAAACUCUUGGUGGCUAAUACCCACCAGGAUUGACGUACCCCCUAAGGAAGCAUCGGC
RNAcentral lists this ribosomal RNA (512 nucleotides) under uncultured bacterium. RNAcentral describes it as "bacterial SSU rRNA". It matches the Rfam family "Bacterial small subunit ribosomal RNA", at positions 1 to 497 of the family's 1533-position model. The record is from RNAcentral.